GAUGAAGAACGUAGCGAAAUGCGAUAAGUAAUGUGAAUUGCAGAAUUCAGUGAAUCAUCGAAUCUUUGAACGCACAUUGCGCCCGCCAGUAUUCUGGCGGGCAUGCCUGUUCGAGCGUCAUUUCAACCAUCAAGCCCCCGGGCUUGUGUUGGGGACCUGCGGCUGCCGCAGGCCCUGAAAACCAGUGGCGGGCUCGCUAGUCACUCCGAGCGUAGUAGUUACAUCUCGCUCAGGGCGUGCUGCGGGUUCCGGCCGUUAAAAGCCUUUUACCCCAAGGUUGACCUCGGAUCAGGUAGGAAGACCCGCUGAACUUAAGCAUAUCAAUAAGCGAGGA
RNAcentral lists this unclassified non-coding RNA (334 nucleotides) under soil metagenome. Its description in RNAcentral is "partial contains 5.8S ribosomal RNA, internal transcribed spacer 2, and large subunit ribosomal RNA". The stretch from base 1 to 120 matches the Rfam family "5.8S ribosomal RNA", at positions 35 to 154 of the family's 154-position model. The record is from RNAcentral.